UCGCACCUACCGAUUGAAUGGUCCGGUGAAGCCUCGGGAUUGUCACUGGUGCCUCGGUGCCAGCGGCGAGAACUUGUCUAAACCUUAUCAUUUAGAGGAAGGUG
Molecule: ribosomal RNA, 104 nt
Filed under: uncultured eukaryote
Lineage: Eukaryota
Description: partial small subunit ribosomal RNA
Rfam family: Eukaryotic small subunit ribosomal RNA
Source: RNAcentral